Molecule: ribosomal RNA, 916 nt
Filed under: uncultured bacterium
Lineage: Bacteria
Description: bacterial SSU rRNA
Rfam family: Bacterial small subunit ribosomal RNA
Source: RNAcentral
UUGUUGGUAAGGUAAAAGCUUACCAAGGCUUCGAUCAGUAGCUGGUCUGAGAGGACGACCAGCCACACUGGGACUGAGACACGGCCCAGACUCCUACGGGAGGCAGCAGUGGGGAAUUUUGGACAAUGGGGGCAACCCUGAUCCAGCCAUGCCGCGUGAGUGAAGAAGGCCUUCGGGUUGUAAAGCUCUUUCAGCCGGAACGAAACGGUUACGGAUAACACCCGUGACUACUGACGGUACCGGAAGAAGAAGCACCGGCUAACUACGUGCCAGCAGCCACGGUAAUACGUAGGGUGCGAGCGUUAAUCGGAAUUACUGGGCGUAAAGCGUGCGCAGGUGGUUUUGUAAGUCAGAUGUGAAAGCCCCGGGCUCAACCUGGGAACUGCGUUUGAAACUACAAGACUAGAGUGUGGCAGAGGGGGGUGGAAUUCCGCGUGUAGCAGUGAAAUGCGUAGAGAUGUGGAGGAACACCGAUGGCGAAGGCAGCCCCCUGGGUCAACACUGACGCUCAGGCACGAAAGCAUGGGGAGCAAACAGGAUUAGAUACCCUGGUAGUCCAUGCCCUAAACGAUGUCAACUAGUUGUCGGGCCUUUACGGGCUUGGUAACGUAGCUAACGCGUGAAGUUGACCGCCUGGGGAGUACGAUCGCAAGAUUAAAACUCAAAUGAAUUGACGGGGACCCGCACAAGCGGUGGAUUAUGUGGAUUAAUUCGAUGCAACGCGAAAAACCUUACCUACCCUUGACAUGUAUCGAAGCCCGCAGAAAAGCGGGGGUGCCCGAAAGGGAACGAUAACACAGGUGCUGCAUGGCUGUCGUCAGCUCGUGUCGUGAGAUGUUGGGUUAAGUCCCGCAACGAGCGCAACCCUUGUCAUUAAUUGCCAUCAUUUAGUUGGGCACUUUAAUGAGACUGCCGG